CAAAAGAUUCCCAGUACAAAUUAAAACAGAACAGAGAGAACAUAAGUGUCACAUCCAAAUUCACGUCAGCAGCUCUCUCUCUCUCUCAUUCCCCUUAAUUCAAAUUUCAAACCCUGUAUCUCUUUGUUCUUACACAUACAGAGCUCUCUCUCAUUCCCCCUUAUUCCCCCAAACAACUCGAUCCCUGUCAACUCCCCUAAAUCUCUUCUCUCAUACCCAGCCAUAAUUCAAGUCCCAAAUCUCUCAUACCCAAUCCUAAAUCUCAUACCCAGCCCCUAAUGUACGAUCUAGAGUAUAGAGAAAGUACCUAGAAUCAAAUUAGGUUCACGGAGCUUGAAAAACACAAACAAAACACGCAGAGAAACGCGAAGCAGAAGAAGUUGAAUUUGAAUUGCACACUAAGAUUGUUCCACCUCUUUCCUUCUCCUUGUAGGAUUCUUCUUGGACAUUCCUUAAAUGAAUAAGAGCAUUAAAUAUUGCUUGAUCACCAAGAUUUUGACUUUAUUGCAAUAAAUAUUAAAUCCUACAAAAUAAGAUAAAACAUAUUAAUUUAAUAAACUAAUAUAAUUAAAAGGACAAAAUUAGGGAUAAUUAAAUGUAUGAAUUAUGUUUCUAUCACAUAAUAAACACGAACCUCUAAUAAAUCUCAAAAUAUCUCCAAUGAAAUUGAACACUAAUUGUCACAUAUUCCAAUUUAAAUAAAAGGAACUCCACACUUACAUAGACUCUACUAAUAAGAACUAAAUGCCAAAAUGGCCCAAACAUCUACAUACAAAAUAUUAGGAAAGUCAAGUCUAAUGAUAAGUCUCAAAAGCUAAUCUACUCAUUUGGAUCAAAGGUAGCUCUCAUCCCACAAAUCCUGAUCACCCCUGAUUACCUGCCGGAAAAAGAACACAGCGUGAGCCAAUUGCCCAGUACGAAUACGAAGAUGAAUAAAUAUAUCACAAUAAGUAAUGAAUCUAAAAGAGCUGAAUGAAUGAACACAUGUGAAUUACAAACGAAUUACGAAUAGAUCAAAAUUUGUGAGUCCAUUUACAAAUGACUAACACUGUCAAUCGAAUAAUUAUAGCCAAAAGAAUCCCAAACAAAUAAGGCUGAAUCAAAUGGUUAUACGGUAACAAUUUCAUACUGAGCUCAAAUACAAAUAGCCAAAGGCUAACAAAAUACAUCGGUACCAUGAUGUAUACAAAUCAAAUCGGAUAGUACGCACGACACAUACGUCACUAAUCCGCCAAACAAAUCGAAUCAAAUCAAAUACUGGGUCGACCCAUACGUAUCCUGAACAAAUAUAUCAAAUGGCCAAAGCUCAUACCCAGAGCAUACAAAAGGAUACGCCGUGGACUAAUCACACCGCCACGGAAGGUGUCAUGCCCUUGUGUCAAGAGGACAUGCCUGUGGUACCCCCACAGGUGGUUAGCUCAAGUAUACCCUAAGGAUCAAACUACAAAAUGUAAGCCAAAAGGGGUUCAAAUCACAAGGCUUACAUGACCAUAUUCAAAUGAAAUUGAAUUAUCAAAUACAAACAUACCCAAUUAUUACAAGAUAUCAAUGAUCAAAACAACUCCGAGUGUGAACGAAAAUAUACGAACAAUGGUACAAACGAAUAAAGUCUCCAAAACAUAUUUACACGAUUAACUAGUUCAAAGAGUACAAAUACGAAUUCAAAUAUCAACCCCAAAACGAAACUAACUCAAUAAUUUUGACAACAAAGAAUAAUCCCAAGAGGCAAUACCAAAUUCUAAACGAGUACAAAAUGAACGAAUUAAAUUUAAAGGAAUAUCGCUGAAAAAGUACGGAAUCCGUACCUUAAUGUAGUACCAAAAUAAUUCGCCGAAUCCAAAUAUCACCCGCUAAACUCCCUCAAUCCGAU
Molecule: long non-coding RNA, 1870 nt
Filed under: Panax ginseng (ginseng)
Lineage: Eukaryota; Viridiplantae; Streptophyta; Magnoliopsida; Apiales; Araliaceae
Description: long non-coding RNA (PGIN_LNC010551)
Source: RNAcentral